Molecule: RNase P RNA, 377 nt
Filed under: Burkholderiales bacterium
Lineage: Bacteria; Pseudomonadati; Pseudomonadota; Betaproteobacteria; Burkholderiales
Description: RNase P RNA component class A
Rfam family: Bacterial RNase P class A
About the family: Ribonuclease P (RNase P) is a ubiquitous endoribonuclease, found in archaea, bacteria and eukarya as well as chloroplasts and mitochondria. Its best characterised activity is the generation of mature 5'-ends of tRNAs by cleaving the 5'-leader elements of precursor-tRNAs. Cellular RNase Ps are ribonucleoproteins.
Source: RNAcentral
GAAGCCAGCCAGACAGUCGCUGUGUCGUUCGUUUUCGGCAUGGAGGAAAGUCCGGGCUCCACAGAGCAGGAUGCCGGCUAACGGCCGGGCGCAGCAAGCGGUGGUUUGCGCCAUUGCCCAAGGCGACGGAAAGUGCCACAGAGAACAGACCGCCGAUGGCCGCAAGGCACAGGCAAGGGUGAAACGGUGCGGUAAGAGCGCACCGCGGUCGCGGUAACGCGAACGGCACGGCAAACCCCAUCCGGAGCAAGAUCAAAUAGGGGGGCAUUGGCGCUGCUCGCGUCGCUCCCGGGUAGAUCGCUAGAGCCGUCGGGUAACCGCCGGCCCAGAGGAAUGACUGUCCGCGACAGAACCCGGCUUAUCGGCUGACUUCACGC